This 573-nucleotide ribosomal RNA is filed under the name uncultured rumen bacterium. RNAcentral describes it as "bacterial SSU rRNA". It matches the Rfam family "Bacterial small subunit ribosomal RNA", at positions 347 to 916 of the family's 1533-position model. The record is from RNAcentral.
GGCAGCAGCUAAGAAUAUUCCGCAAUGGGGGAAACCCUGACGGAGCGACGCCGCGUGGACGACGAAGGCCGGAAGGUUGUAAAGUCCUUUUAUCCGUGAGGAAUAAGGAGGGGAGGGAAUGCCCCUCCGGUGACUGUAGCGGAUGAAUAAGCACCGGCUAAUUACGUGCCAGCAGCCGCGGUAACACGUAAGGUGCGAGCGUUGUUCGGAAUCAUUGGGCGUAAAGGGCAUGUAGGCGGCCGCGCAAGUCUGGGGUGAAAUACCGGGGCUCAACCCCGGGGCUGCCCUGGAAACUGCGUGGCUGGAGUCGCCGAGGCGGAGCCGGAAUUCCAGGUGUAGGGGUGAAAUCUGUAGAUAUCUGGAAGAACACCAAUGGCGAAGGCAGGCUUCGAGCGGACGACUGACGCUGAGGUGCGAAGGUGCGGGGAGCAAACAGGAUUAGAUACCCUGGUAGUCCGCACAGUAAACGAUGCACACUGGGUGUCCGGCCAGGAGGCUGGGUGCCGAAGCAAACACGGUAAGUGUGCCGCCUGGGGAGUAUGCCCGCAAGGGUGAAACUCAAGGAAUUGACGG